This 778-nucleotide ribosomal RNA is filed under the name uncultured archaeon. RNAcentral's name for it is "bacterial SSU rRNA". It matches the Rfam family "Archaeal small subunit ribosomal RNA", at positions 143 to 922 of the family's 1478-position model. The record is from RNAcentral.
GGGAUAAUUCCGGAUAAAUCAUAGAAACUGGAAUGUUCUGUGAUUAAAAGCUCCGGUGCCUUAGGAUGGAUCUGCGGCCUAUCAGGUAGUAGUGGGUGUAAUGUACCUACUAGCCUACGACGGGUACGGGUUGUGAGAGCAAGAGCCCGGAGAUGGAUUCUGAGACAUGAAUCCAGGCCCUACGGGGCGCAGCAGGCGCGAAAACUUUACAAUGCGGGAAACCGCGAUAAGGGGACACCGAGUGCCAGCAUCUUAUGUUGGCUGUCCGCAUGUAUAAAUAACAUGUGUUAGCAAGGGCCGGGCAAGACCGGUGCCAGCCGCCGCGGUGACACCGGCGGCCCGAGUGGUGGCCAUUAUUAUUGGGUCUAAAGGGUCCGUAGCCGGUUUGAUCAGUCUUCCGGGAAAUCUGACAGCUCAACUGUUAGGCUUCUGGGGGAUACUGUCAGACUUGGAACCGGGAGAGGUAAGAGGUACUACAGGGGUAGGAGUGAAAUCUUGUAAUCCUUGUGGGACCACCAGUGGCGAAGGCGUCUUACCAGAACGGGUUCGACGGUGAGGGACGAAAGCUGGGGGCACGAACCGGAUUAGAUACCCGGGUAGUCCCAGCCGUAAACGAUGCUCGCUAGGUGUCUGGGAUGGUGCGACCGUUUCAGGUGCCGCAGGGAAGCCGUGAAGCGAGCCACCUGGGAAGUACGGCCGCAAGGCUGAAACUUAAAGGAAUUGGCGGGGGAGCACUACAACGGGUGGAGCCUGCGGUUUAAUUGGAAUCAACGCCGGG